This 710-nucleotide long non-coding RNA is filed under the name Phasianus colchicus (ring-necked pheasant). Its description in RNAcentral is "lncRNA (ENSPCLG00000016735.1)". The record is from RNAcentral. Lineage: Eukaryota; Metazoa; Chordata; Aves; Galliformes; Phasianidae.
CCCAUUUCAGGUCCCUGUGGUGCCUUUUCCAGUCCCUCUGGGGGUCCCCAGCCCCCUUUCAGGUCCCUUUGGUCCCUGCGGUGUCCUCAAUUCCUUUUUGUGUCCCUUUGGCCUUAUUUUAAGUCCCUUUGCUCCCUCUGCCCCCAUUGGUGUGACGUUGGGUGACAUUGGAUGACACCAGGUGAUACUGAGCGAUGCCAGGUGACAUCAGGUGACCUUGGGUGACAUUGGGUAGCACCAGGAGAUGCUGGGUGACACCAGGUGAUGUUGGGUGAUGUUCUGCGACACCAGGUGCCACCGAUGCCAUCGAUCCCGCAGGGCACAGCUGGCAGAGGUGACACCGGGUGCCACCAGGUGCCACUGAUGCCAUCGAUGCCACAGGGCGCAGCGCGACAGCUGGCGGAGGUGACACUGGGUGACACCGGAUGUCACCAGGUGCCACCAAUGCCAUCGAUGCCAUCCCGCAGGGCGCGGCAGCUGGCGGAGGUGACACUGGGUGACACCGGAUGUCACCAGGUGCCACCAAUGCCAUCGAUGCCAUCCCGCAGGGCGCGGCGCGGCAGCUGGCGGAGGUGACACCGGAUGUCACCAGGUGCCACCAAUGCCAUCGAUGCCAUCCCGCAGGGCGCGGCGUGGCAGCUGGCGGAGGUGACACCGGAUGUCACCAGGUGCCACCAGUGCCAUCGAUGCCAUCCCGCAGGGCGCGGCGC